This 1087-nucleotide long non-coding RNA is filed under the name Homo sapiens (human). RNAcentral describes it as "long intergenic non-protein coding RNA 1919". The record is from RNAcentral. Lineage: Eukaryota; Metazoa; Chordata; Mammalia; Primates; Hominidae.
GGCUCUCAAGCAAGGUCCACUUGCAGUGAAAUAAACCAGAGGUUUGAAUCAUGGCUUGAUACGAAAUUAUUGGAAAGAAUAUGGCGAUGACAUCCACAAUGCCGGUAAGAAGACGAAAUUACAAGCAGGAUGAAAAAUUUGUUCAAUGAAACACAGCUAUUAAGUGGCUGACCUAAUAAGUGUUAUGUAUAAGUGACUCAUCCAUUGUAGCUUCUGGGACUCAACUUUAGGAUCAUCGUCAUAUGCAGCCUGGAGCUAGCCAUAUUUGAAGAGCUAGGAAGGAGGCACAGUGAUUGACAAUCUCCUUUCUCCUCAACUAGAAUGUCAUUUCCUUUUUUAAAACUAAUUUAAAUCCCAUCUACAUUCAAUUGCUUGUCUAAAAUAAAACCCAACUCCUCUCUUAAAGACUUUAAAAAUAUUAUAUAGCAGAGUUCAUCCUUUCUUUCUUCAGAGAAAGCAUCAUGAAAACAUGUUUUCAGGACAUUAAUAACUUGAUAUUCACAACCAACCUUUAAAUUUGGAAACAAGGAAUUCAUAACUACGUUGUAUAUAUAUGAAGAAAGUAAGCCUCAGAGAAUUUCAAGAGCCCGUCCAGGAUAGUCUGCUUCAGAGCCAUGGUUCUCAAAGUAUAUCAGAUCUCCAGAGUAGGAUAAAGAAAAUAUUUAGAAGAUGAGAUUCCUGUGUUUCUGGCUUUCAUCUUUUUGCUUUGAAAAGUGGACCCAGUGCUUAUGGCUGCAUCACCAUUUUCAUUACCAGUUCAAGAACAGAAGCUAAACCACUAACAGUGGCAACCUAACUCAAUCUUGUUGUACAAUUACAGAAAUGAUUUCCUUGCUUUUAAAGCCUUUAUAAGUCAGGAAUUUUUAAAACUGGCAUUCAAAUAGAUUUCUAAUUAGUACAAUGUAGCCCCAUCUCAGUUCAGUUAUGUCAGCCCCAUGUCUAUAUUGGGCAUCUGAACAGCAUUUAAGAAAGUUUCAUUGCUUAAUUUUGAAAACACUAUAUAUGACAAUAUCUAUGUUCUCCCAAAUUUGCUUACCUAUGACUCAAUGCAUGGACAAAGCCAACAAAAUAAACAAAAUGCCAUUAA